Molecule: ribosomal RNA, 253 nt
Filed under: uncultured bacterium
Lineage: Bacteria
Description: partial 16S ribosomal RNA
Rfam family: Bacterial small subunit ribosomal RNA
Source: RNAcentral
UACGGAGGGGACUAGCGUUGUUCGGAAUUACUGGGCGUAAAGCGCACGUAGGCGGAUUUGUAAGUCAGGGGUGAAAUCCCGGGGCUCAACCUCGGAACUGCCUUUGAUACUGCAAAUCUCGAGUCCGGAAGAGGUGAGUGGAAUUCCUAGUGUAGAGGUGAAAUUCGUAGAUAUGUGGAGGAACACCGAUGGCGAAGGCAGCCCCCUGGGAUGUGACUGACGCUCAUGUACGAAAACGUGGGGAGCAAACAGG